Non-coding RNA from Vicia faba (fava bean), 264 nucleotides. The record is from the annotation of a GenBank genome assembly. Lineage: Eukaryota; Viridiplantae; Streptophyta; Magnoliopsida; Fabales; Fabaceae.
AUGAAGUCUCAGCGGGUGGAACUGAGCGCGAUUGAAGAAGCAAGAUCGACGGAGAAGGAAAAAGGCGUAGAGGAAUGUGAAUAUGAUGGAAUAAUCUGUGAAGUUGAAGCAAAUACGGAUGAUGAUAUGACGACAAAGACGAUGGUGUCACGGUGUUGGAGAGGAAUCGUAUGUGAAGGGGAAAGAAAGAUCGCUCCGCUGUUGAAUCUGAGAAGAGGAAGACGAGUCUUCAUGAAGCUCAAGGGUCAUAAAUUUCAACCUUAA